UCCUGGCCUGGAAGUGGGGCAGUAACAUGACUGCAGCCGCCCAGCUGAGAGUCCCCCAGGCUCCGCCACCAAACCCCCAGGUAGGACAAAAGGCGACAGAGGUGGCAGGUACCAGAUGCAAACAGGAGUGAGAGGGGCUCCGCUAUGAAUUAUUGGUAUAAUGGUAGACCCAGACAUGAGUGUGAGCCCUGGAGCUGGACACUGUACAUGGUCUCAGUCUGACCGUAGCCAAUUGUCAAAAAUCAAAGUAACCAUUAGCCGGUUCAUUUAUGCCUGAGAAAACAGUAUAGCCAUGGCUUAUGGUUGCUUUCCUAAUGCCGCCAAGCUCUUCUUUCUGACCAAGGCAGGUCCUGGCACAGGAAAAAAUCUGGCCCAGGAGCACAGAGGGAAUCCAGUGACUAUCAAAGUCCAGCAUUCGCCCGUCUGUUAGGAAAACAGAGCAAUUUCCUGAGCAGAUGAUUCUUGUGGGAAGGUGGCGAGGCUGCGGCACAGCUGAGAUGAGAGAGACUCUGCAGGAGACCGCAAAGGGGGAAGGAGAUCAAGCCACACAACGGUACCGAGCUGCAAAUGUGUGGUACGAAGCAUGUGGUCAUGUACCGACAGCCACGUAGGAACUUUGUGGUAGUCCAUAAACUGUUUAUCAUGGACAUGGAGAAUAACAUCUUCUAAUGGAAACUCAGUUUGUCAAAGUCAACAUUUUUGGCAGCAAAGUACGUAGCAGGAUAGAAUUUCUGGGCAAGACCAAUGAGAGACAGCAUGUCCCACGUCCCCCAAAUCACUUAGCACUUGUGCCACUCACCUAGGAUGUAAGGUUCAAGUCUCCAGAGCAGGGGGACUGCACCUCAGUCUUAGACAUUUCAGGUAGACAUGCCAAAGCACUGGCACUGGGGGGCAACUUCCCUGUUACAUUGUACCCCACCCUCUUUAUCCUGAGAUCCUUGUCCCUGGGAUCCAUCAGACUGUGUCCAUCUUCCUGGAGUGAAUUCGGGGGCACAACCCUGUAGGGGAGGGCUGUCAGUACAGGCAGUGCCCUGUUUCCCACCCAACAGGCAACCCCCAUCCCCCCAUACAUACAGGGCCUCUCCCUAGCCUACAUCUUCAUAGGUGUCAUAGAUAUUAGGGGCUGGAAGGGACCUCAUGAGAUCAUCGGGUCCAGCCCCCUACCAUAAGCGGGAAGUCAGGUGGGAUCAAGUGAGCCCAGAAAGAAAUAUAUCCACCUGGUUUUUGAAGGAGUCCAGAGUAGGUGCUUGCACCACCUCUGGGGGGAGUCCCCUGGGGCUGGUCAAACAUGGUCUGUCAAAGCUGCUUUCCCACAGAACAGCCUUUGUGCCCGAAAGCUUGCAAUUAAAGAAUUUUUUUUUUGCAAAAAUCUUGUUGGUCUAAUAAAAGAUACCAUCUCUA
Long non-coding RNA from Alligator mississippiensis (American alligator), 1401 nucleotides. RefSeq lists it as uncharacterized. The record is from RefSeq and is a predicted model, not a curated record. NCBI's taxonomy places the organism in Eukaryota, Metazoa, Chordata, Crocodylia, Alligatoridae. The transcript has 2 exons.